CAAUAGCGUAUAUUAACGUUGUUGCAGUUAAAAAGCUCGUAGUUGGAUUUCUGGAGGGAGCGUCGGCCCGUAUUUACGAGUGCGUGACGUCUCUGUCCAUCCUUGCGGGAAGGCACGGCAUUGAUUUGUUGUGUCGGAUCGCAUCAUUUACUGUGAAAAAAUUAGAGUGUUCAAAGCAGGCUUUCGCUUGAAUACAUUAGCAUGGAAUAAUAAGAUAGGACUUUGGUGCUAUUUUGUUGGUUGAGCCUAAAGUAAUGAUUAAUAGGGAUAGUUGGGGGCACCUGUAUUGCGUUGUCAGAGGUGAAAUUCUCGGAUUUACGCAAGACAAACAGCUGCGAAANCGNNNGCCAAGGAUGUUUUCAUNAA
This 366-nucleotide ribosomal RNA is filed under the name uncultured eukaryote. Its description in RNAcentral is "partial 18S ribosomal RNA". It matches the Rfam family "Eukaryotic small subunit ribosomal RNA", at positions 592 to 976 of the family's 1831-position model. The record is from RNAcentral.